This 495-nucleotide ribosomal RNA is filed under the name uncultured bacterium. RNAcentral's name for it is "partial 16S ribosomal RNA". It matches the Rfam family "Bacterial small subunit ribosomal RNA", at positions 28 to 507 of the family's 1533-position model. The record is from RNAcentral.
GACGAACGCUGGCGGCGUGCCUAAUACAUGCAAGUAGAACGCUGAAGGAGGAGCUUGCUUCUCUGGAUGAGUUGCGAACGGGUGAGUAACGCGUAGGUAACCUGCCUGGUAGCGGGGGAUAACUAUUGGAAACGAUAGCUAAUACCGCAUAAUAGUAGAUGUUGCAUGACAUUUGCUUAAAAGGUGCAAUUGCAUCACUACCAGAUGGACCUGCGUUGUAUUAGCUAGUUGGUGGGGUAACGGCUCACCAAGGCGACGAUACAUAGCCGACCUGAGAGGGGGAUCGGCCACACUGGGACUGAGACACGGCCCAGACUCCUACGGGAGGCAGCAGUAGGGAAUCUUCGGCAAUGGACGGAAGUCUGACCGAGCAACGCCGCGUGAGUGAAGAAGGGUUUCGGAUCGGAAAGCUCUGUUGUAAGAGAAGAACGAGUGUGAGAGUGGAAAGUUCACACUGUGACGGUAUCUUACCAGAAAGGGACGGCUAACUACGUG